GAUUAACGCUGGCGGCGUGCAUAACACAUGCAAGUCGAACGAUGAAACUCAUUAGAUUUCUUCGGAAUGAAAAUGAAUGGAUUAGUGGCGAACGGGUGAGUAACGCGUGAGUAACCUGCCUUACACAAGGGGAUAGCCUCUGGAAACGGAGAAUAAUACCCUAUGAAACCAGACAAUCGCAUGAUAAUCUGGUCAAAAUGUUUAGUGGUGUAAGAUGGACUUGCGUCUGAUUAGCUAGUUGGUGAGAUAAAAGCUCACCAAGGCAACGAUCAGUAGCCGGCUUGAGAGAGUGUACGGCCACAUUGGGACUGCGACACGGCCCAGACUCCUACGGGAGGCAGCAGUGGGGAAUUUUGCACAAUGGGGGAAACCCUGAUGCAGCGACGCCGCGUGAUUUAGAAGGCCUUCGGGUUGUAAAAAUCUUUUGUAUAGGAAGAAAAUGACAGUACUAUACGAAUAAGGUCCGGCUAAUUACGUG
This 478-nucleotide ribosomal RNA is filed under the name uncultured bacterium. RNAcentral's name for it is "partial 16S ribosomal RNA". It matches the Rfam family "Bacterial small subunit ribosomal RNA", at positions 28 to 507 of the family's 1533-position model. The record is from RNAcentral.